UUGACAAAAGCGCUAAUAUAUGAUAUAUGAUGUAUAAAACAUGUAAUAUACAAAUAAAUACCUGUAUAUAUAUAUAUAUGUAUAUAUAUAUAUAUAUAUAUAUAUAUAUAUAUAUAAAGUUAUAAAGAGAGAGUCAUGAAAAGGUGGAGUACCAGGCUGAAUGCAUACAGUAUCACCCUUCAGAUCCUGUCACUAGUGACUUAUUUUCCUCCUUCUGAUUAGCCUUUGAUAAAAUAAGAUGUUUUAAGGUAUUUUAAUUGAAAUUACUCUGCACCUCUCAUCAAAAAUUUCUCUUGGCCCAGGUCCAUUGAAAUUGUUCACUGUGAAGGGUAGGUAGAUGAAGAAAUUUAUUUACUUUUCUGUCUUAAAAAUUGGUAAAAUCUAGAGUUAAAUUGUAUCUAAAUAUUAUCUGUACCUAAUGUGCUGAAAGAUAUUAAAGAUAUGGGUUGGGUUUUAGUUUUAUUGUAUCAUAAGUUUUUUACUGCAGCUCUGGUCUUUAUUGAUUGUUGACUAUUGCUAAAUUUUGUUAGUUUAAAAAGCAUUCUUAAUGCAUUUUCUCUUUCAUUUUCUUCAUUUGUAACAGUAGUUGAGUUAGUCAUUAUGCAGAAACAUCCAUUCUAGGUAUUUAUUAAUCAUGUGCCUUACCAAUAUUUUUUUGGUCUUUGUUACAUAAUGAAAUCAAUUUUUUUAUAAACUUUUUCUAUAUUUAGAAAGCAUUCCAAAUUCUUUGUUAAGCCUUGUAAACUAUUUCCUCUUGCAACCCCUUAAUUGCCCUUUAACAUUGUAAACUGUCUACCUUGCAAAUAAGCACCUCAUGAUAAAGACCAUUCAAUCAGCUAAUUUUGUCUACUUCUUUAAAAUCCUCAGCAGUUAAUUCCAAAUAAAUGCAGUUUUCUUAAAAGUAUUGUUUUUCGCAGAAAAUUUUUUGCAAAACAGAAUGAGAUAGUGGAACAGAACAAAACUAUGGCCAAGUGUAAUAUUUGGAUACCUCAAUGAACAUAAAGAAUUUAAAAAAAACUUUAUAGGAAGUAGAAAAAGAACCUGAAAUUUUACUUCCUAUAAAUUAAAAAGUUAUUAGUCAUGUCAUAUUAGUCAUGUCAUACAAUCUAUAUAUUGUUUGCAUAGCAAAUGCUAUGGCCAGUAAAUGGAUAACAUUGCUUAGUCUGUUUGAAACAAUUAGGACCUGGCCAAUAGCAUACUUUCACCAUUGGGAACACUUGAAAAUUAAAAGGUAUAUUAACUUAAAAAAUUUCUAUUUCUGUCUUAUCUCAAUAUAAUUUGUGGAUCCUGCAAACCCUGUGACAGUGUCUGUCAUUCCAUUUGUUUUGCAUACCUUUUUUGUGCGUUUUUUUUUUCUUUUUUGCACAUUCCUAUUGACAUUCGAAACACUUGCAUCUGUCAGUUGUUAAACUGAAGUGUUUUCUCUGUAUUUCUACUUUCCUGAGAAUGAUAAACCUUUAGAUUUGUUUUCCAUAAUCAUUAGAGGUUGCUCAUGUAGUUUUUUUUCUUUUUUUUUUAAUUUAAAAAAAAGUUUUUCCAUUCCUAAUAAUUGUAUUUAUUAUUGGUAAAACUUUCAGGUUUAUUAUUUUUAUUUUUAGAUGAAAUUUUAUUAAUCAGUGUUGUGAAAACUUUAAGUAUAAAACUGUAGUUUUGUAUCUUUCCAUCCAUUCGUUUAUAUAUUUUAUAAUUAUUCAUAUCAUUCUUGGGUAAACUUGCACAUUUAUAACAUUUAUAUAUUUAAAUUACAUAGAAUAAGAACAUAAACGGUUAAAACAUUCCAGACAUAUCAACGAUGUAACAUAAUCUUUAACUCUUUUAAUAUCAACCUGCUUGUGCUAAUUAAUAUGUUCCUAUUUCAAUUAAAAUUGUGAUCAAAAUCUGACAUUUAGGUACAUUUUAAUAUUUUAUGAUAAUUCAAUUAGGUUGAUCCUAAUUUAUGAGCUUUCUCCACAAGCAAUAAACAUGUCUAUUUUCUCUAUGCAGUAUCUCCUCCGCCCUCUCUCUCAGCUGUAUAUGAUGUCAUAUGUGCUGUAAUUGAACAUUUUAGAGUGGGCAGGCUAUGAUCCUACACAUUUAUAACAACCACCCAAAUUAUAAUAAUAAUAAUAAUAAUAAUAAAAGAACAAGUGAUUUAAAGUUUUUUUACAUAUCAGUUCCGAAACCAUGAAUCUGUUCUACUGAAAAUAUAUCAUUCUAUAUAGUGGUGUAUUUCAGCUAUGCAGACUUAUUUGUGAUUCAAAUGUUUUAUUUCUUUUUCUCCCCCCCCCCUUCUAGCUUUUCUGUCUAUUUAUAGCUUAGUUUAAAUAUAACUUUUAUUUUUGCAUUAAUUUCAAUUCUCCGAUGUAUUUUAUUACUCUGAGAUGACAUUUUCUCGUAUAUUUGUGUGUGUACAUAUAUAUAUAUAUAUAUAUAAGACUGGGAUAUGUUGUACCAUUUUAAUUCUGUGUUACAUGUUUCAUUACAAUAUGGGAAUACAUUUUAUGAAUAUAUCAAUAAGUAAUAUAAUAAAUUCAUAACUUGUAGAACAUCUCCCAACUGUAAUGGAAUAUGCAGAUGUGCUUCAUGCGGACACAGCUUGGAUUAUAAUCCCUUCUGUGUGUGUGUAAAUAAAUGCACACGCACACAGACACUCACACCUUUCCAUUGGUGUUUUUUUAGUGGGUUAGUUUAGGUUUAAUUCUGUCUAUCAUAGUUGAUGUAUUUGUCUCUAGCAGAGACAAUGAAGCGCUAAACUUUAAAAAUCCCACCUGACUGCUUAACCUUUCAUGCCUACUACUACUACCCACACAACACACCGUUCCACCUGCCCUAAAAAAAAAAAAAGAAAGAUAAAAGUGUCAAUUACAAUCCUACAUCUCUGCCGCUUCUCUGACGCUGUUUACAUUCCAGUAUCU
Molecule: long non-coding RNA, 2894 nt
Organism: Octopus sinensis (East Asian common octopus)
Lineage: Eukaryota; Metazoa; Mollusca; Cephalopoda; Octopoda; Octopodidae
Exons: 2
Source: RefSeq, a predicted model, not a curated record